This is a long non-coding RNA of Aethalodelphis obliquidens (Pacific white-sided dolphin), 1037 nucleotides long. RefSeq lists it as uncharacterized. The record is from RefSeq and is a predicted model, not a curated record. Lineage: Eukaryota; Metazoa; Chordata; Mammalia; Artiodactyla; Delphinidae. The transcript is spliced from 5 exons.
GUUCUUAAGAUAAAAAAGGUGACUCCAUCCAAAGGCCAUGAAGUCUUACAGCUGUACUACUGCUACUUACAUCAGAAACAAGCACUACUUUGGAGUGUGGGAAAAGAUUUGGGCGGCAGAAGCUCUUAGAAUCAAAUCAAAUCCAUCUCUGAGGCUCCCUCUCUCCCAAAUGGCAAGAAAAUCCAAUCUCAGCCAUGAUGGAGAGGGGCAUGAGGGUGGAAUUCUCCUCCUCUUUCUCUUUCUCUAGGGCCAUAUAGCAAAUUGAUUUUAGUUUUAAAGGGAAGUUUCAGAUUUGGGUCUAGGCUAUCCAUUCAACUCACCGGAAAAGCAAUGGAGACAAGGACUCAAGGUUGUACUACUUGCCAGGAAUGAAGUCAGUGCACUUGGCUGCUGCAUUCCCUGAGGUGUGUCUCUUGGAAUUUGGUGUUGUCUUCAAGCUCCUGGAUCUGCCUCUCUCCAACAUCUGCCUGCUGUCCCGUAUAUACUAAAAUAUAGACAAAAUUAAACAUGCUUAAAGAAAUCUUCUGCAUUUCUAUGGCGGUGAUGCUGACGGAAGUCUUGAGGAGGCCCAGGAACUGCUGGGUUGUUCUUCCUAAGUAUUCGCAGAAGGAGUGAAGGUGACUACUGCAUUCAGAGGCAGUUAAUUUCCUAAGUGCAAGGCUUUAUUCAUUUUGAAGAGAACUUGGAUUGGCUGGUGUUCCAGAAACUGCAACAAAGAAACUCAGUCUCUGGUCACGACCAGGACCUAGUGACUGAAGACAGAAGAAUUUCACCUAUUCCUAAGUGUGGGCAAGACACUGGAAAAAGUGUGCAUCAAUCAUCAAGAGUCCAAAUGCAGCUUCAACAGCAUGUAACUGGCUGCAAACCAAAUAAGGACAUUUGAAGAAGGAAUGGAAGUCCUGAUGUUGUCUGAAAUGGAUCAAGGAAGCACCAACAUCAGCAUUUGCCAACAGAGCGUCAGUCCCUUGGAAUAAAAUUCCAUAGUCAGUAGCGGAGCACUCUUUCAAGUUCUAUUCAAGAUAUAUAUUAUCCUUCAA